This 253-nucleotide ribosomal RNA is filed under the name uncultured bacterium. RNAcentral's name for it is "partial 16S ribosomal RNA". It matches the Rfam family "Bacterial small subunit ribosomal RNA", at positions 524 to 776 of the family's 1533-position model. The record is from RNAcentral.
UACGUAUGGUGCAUGCGUUAUCCGGAUUUACUGGGUGUAAAGGGAGCGCAGGCGGCACGGCAAGCCUGAUGUGAAAGCCCGCGGCCCAACCGCGGGACUGCAUUGGGAACUACCGGGCUGGAGUGCCGGAGAGGUAGGCGGAAUUCCUAGUGUAGCGGUGAAAUGCGUAGAUAUUAGGAGGAACACCAGUGGCGAAGGCGGCCUACUGGACGGUGACUGACGCUGAGGCUCGAAAGCGUGGGGAGCAAACAGG